This 468-nucleotide ribosomal RNA is filed under the name uncultured bacterium. RNAcentral describes it as "partial 16S ribosomal RNA". It matches the Rfam family "Bacterial small subunit ribosomal RNA", at positions 28 to 507 of the family's 1533-position model. The record is from RNAcentral.
GACGAACGCUGGCGGCGUGCUUAACACAUGCAAGUCGAACGGAAAGGCCCUGCUUUUGUGGGGUGCUCGAGUGGCGAACGGGUGAGUAACACGUGAGUAACCUGCCCUUGACUUUGGGAUAACUUCAGGAAACUGGGGCUAAUACCGGAUAGGAGCUCCUGCUGCAUGGGGGGGGUUGGAAAGUGUCGGCGGUGGGGGAUGGACUAGCGGCUUAUCAGCUUGUUGGUGGGGUAGUGGCUUACCAAGGCUUUGACGGGUAGCCGGCCUGAGAGGGUGACCGGCCACCUUGGGCCUGCGAUACGGCCCAGACUCCUACGGUAGGCAGCAGUGGGGAAUAUUGCACAAUGGGCGGAAGCCUGAUGCAGCAACGCCGCGUGCGGGAUGCCGGCUUUCGGGUGGUAAACCGCUUUCGCCUGUGACGAAGCGUGAGUGACGGUAAUGGGUAAAGAAGCACCGGCUAACUACGUG